AAAUUGGUGAUUUAUAAUAACUUAGCAAAUCGCAAAGUGAAAACAGGCGAUAAAUCAUUCAAGUUUCUGACCUAUCAGCUUUCGACGGUAUGGUAUUGGCUUACCGUGGCAGUGACGGUUAACGGGGGAUUAGGGUUCGAUUCCGGAGAGGGAGCCUGAGAAACGGCUACCACAUCUAAGGAAGGCAGCAGGCGCGCAAAUUACCCAAUUCUAACAGUUUAAGAGAGGUAGUAACAAGAAAUAACAAUACAAGGCAAUUAAAAUGCUUUGUAAUUGGAAUGAUAGAAAUUUAAACCCUUUUUAAAGUAUCAAUUGGAGGGCAAGUCUGGUGCCAGCAGCCGCGGUAAUUCCAGCUCCAAUAGCGUAUAUUAAAAUUGUUGCAGUUAAAAAGCUCGUAGUUGAAGUUCUGCUAAAAGUAACCGGUCUGCUUUUAAUAAAAGUGGUAUCUUGGUGUGUAUUUAGCAAUGAUGUCCUUUGAAGUGUUUUUUACUUUAUUGUAAUAAAGCAUAUUCAGGACUUUUACUUUGAGAAAAUUAGAGUGUUUCUAGCAGGCCAACGCUUUGAAUACUGCAGCAUG
RNAcentral lists this ribosomal RNA (577 nucleotides) under Hepatozoon canis. RNAcentral's name for it is "SSU rRNA". It matches the Rfam family "Eukaryotic small subunit ribosomal RNA", at positions 240 to 811 of the family's 1831-position model. The record is from RNAcentral. Lineage: Eukaryota; Apicomplexa; Hepatozoidae.